RNA transcript from Diospyros lotus (date-plum), 2606 nucleotides. RefSeq lists it as uncharacterized. The record is from RefSeq and is a predicted model, not a curated record. NCBI's taxonomy places the organism in Eukaryota, Viridiplantae, Streptophyta, Magnoliopsida, Ericales, Ebenaceae. The transcript has 3 exons.
AAAUAAGUUCCUUGAAAAUCUUACCUUGGCUUUCGGCAUUGUAUUGUUUGGAUCCACUCCAUGGUUUCCACUUUCCCCUGCAGAGAACUUUGAGAUGUUAAGACACUGGAAUCCUUCUACCACUUACACAUAAUUAAUCUUCACAUAACCAAGAAAGAUAUAGUCUCAAAGCUUCCAAAUGAAACAAACAUAAAUACUUAAGAUGGAGCAUUGUGGAACAAGAAGAUAAAACAUCCAUAAUCCAUAAUCAUGCAGUAGUCUUGUGUGUGCGUAUAUAUAUUUUACAUUUUUCUUUUUCCUUGGGUAGGUGUGGUUAUAUAUUGAAUCCUAGAAGCAGAUCGUUGAAGAACCGUGAUAAAAUCCCCCCCCAAAAAAAGAAAAGAAAAACCGUGGUUAUACACGGUUCUGAUAAAAUCCCAAAGAACCUUGAAAAUCCUACAGUGGCCAGAAUUCACUUCAACAUGGAUGUGCCUGUUACAGAACGCAAAGUUUGAUUCGACAAAGGUCAAUUGCAUUUAGCACUGCAAAGGGUUAGCUAGAAAUACCUGGAGGCAGUCUCUUGUGGUUGUGGCUGCUGAUGCGUCGGCCGGUGCGGGAAUGGUGGCGGUGGAAGAGCUGGAAAACCCCAUUCAUGCACCCAAUCUGCUUAUGCAGAUCUGGGUUUUCAUCCGAUAGAGAAUAUAGAAACUUUGCGGACAUGUCCACCCGUUCUGUGAUUCUGGACGAUGGAAACUAAUGCUCUCCGAGCUUGAUUUCUCUUUCUAACUUUCUCUUAAUGAAUUUCAGCCGCCUCUGGAAACUUACAGGGGCAUAAAUGGAGUUUGGACAGCCCAAAAGAGUAGUUGGAUCUCAUUUUGUCAAGAGAUUCAUUAUAUGCAUCCAUUUAUUUCUGUGUGAUUUCUAACAUGCAUCCAUUCAUGUAAAUGACAAAAUUGGCAUUCAAUGAGCCAGGGCCCCAGCUUCAUAAACCCACUCGCUACCUUCCCAGCCUCUUACUUGAAUAGCUUCCUUUAAACAACUCUCCGCUCUUUCAACUGAACUGACAUAUUCUCCCUUUAGCUCUUUUGCUGUUGGAGUAAUGCAGAAUAGGGGCUUUGGAUACGGAAGAGAAUGACAGAACAGAUGUGAGAGAGCUGAAACAAAGUAAAAGUCCUGUUUUUCACAGACCAGAGCUGGCAAUAUCUACUGUAAAGCCGAAAAGGGACGAAAAAGAAAGUGGAAGGACACCAAAAUUCACAGUUGCCACGAUCUCCUUCCCCCUUUAUGGCGCUCCAAAACGGCUGUUGGUGCAAGCUGCAGGCAAGAAAAUUCUGCAGAACCAAGAAGAGAUGUUUUUCUGGGUUUGCUCGCAGAGAAUAUAAGCAAACAAGGUAAAUGCUUGCUUCGUCUUUUGGUCCCUCAAGGAAAGGCUGCCGUAGAACUUUGAGUUCUGGAGGGUAUAUAAUGCAGCAUAGGCGGGCAUUACGUAAUUUAUUUGGUUUUAGAGAGAGAGAGAGAGAGAGAGGUGGGUCAGAUCUGGCUGUGAAUUGUGAGGGUCAUCUGCGUUGGUUAUUUUCUACUACUUUCAUGCGGACAAAAUAACGUGGGUGGGUCUGCAGCCUGGGCCUCCCUACAUGGGCAUGUGGAGUCUGUCAGAUGGUGGAUUCAUUCACAUCCUGGCGGAGGCUGCACAGUCUAAAGCUCAUUUUCAACCAUUCCCCAGUCCAGUUUACCAAACUGCCCUCCGGUGGAUUCUCAUUUUUGACCCUCCCGAUCAAAAGACAAUCAGCCAAGGUGGUCCAAUGUUACAGGUACCGGAAUUGGUUGCAAGAUUUGAAAAAGGAACAACCCACGGAGAUGUCUUGGACCACUAGGCUUCCCGGAACUGGGCAAGAAGACUAUACGAAACCUCUAUGCAAAGAAGAUUGUUCUCUGUCCAUCCCUCUUUAACUUGUUUUAUGGGUACAAUCUUUUGUCGCCUCUAGAGCUGUUAGGAUGGGGAUACAAGAAAAUUGGUUCCGCUUGGAGUCUCAAAAUCUUCUUGUAGACUUGGUUGGUGACAUGUUAUGAUAUUUAUUUUUGGUUUAAGCGGUGAAAAAAGACUAAUAAUAUUGCUAUUAAAAACUCAAAAAGAGUUAUUAUUAAUCUCAUGGAUUUGGUCCCACCAAUUAUAAUAACCUGAUGAUGGAGUGAUAGGUUACGACUUUUCUUCUACACACAGGGAUGUCUUGAAAUUCAAAUUUAUGUUCUGUUUUUUUUUUUUUCUUUAAAAAGAUAAUGAUAUAACAUCCGACCAGGAUGAUUUGAAUGAUAGUUGUAUGUAAUGCUUGAAGAGGCAUCUUCCAUAUACUUUGAUAAUCCAAAUGUGGGGCAUAAAGUCACUCUGACAUCGAAGGACAUGGGACUGUUACACCAUAUGUACACACACAUAUACCAUCAUGAUGUGUAGAUUACAUGUUCAUAUUGAUGAUGAAGGGUAUUGGAGCAAUUGGCCAAUGGGAAAUUAGGACAAAUCAUAAAGAUGAAGGAACAGCUGUUAUGUUAAGGACGUAUUUUUGUUUCUGAGACACAUGGCUUCCUACCACCCCAUGCUGUGUCAAACCUUGCUUGCUUCUCACCGGUCAUUG